Molecule: ribosomal RNA, 128 nt
Filed under: Fusobacterium mortiferum
Lineage: Bacteria; Fusobacteriati; Fusobacteriota; Fusobacteriia; Fusobacteriales; Fusobacteriaceae
Description: partial 23S ribosomal RNA
Rfam family: Bacterial large subunit ribosomal RNA (bases 1-109)
Source: RNAcentral
GAUAAGUAUUCUUUAAGACUCCUUCGAGCCUAGGAGGUUGAUAGGUUGGGGGUGUAAGGGCUGCGAGGCCUUUAGCUGACCAAUACUAAUAAGUCGAAGUUUUAACCUUAAAUUUACUAUAUAGUUUC